UCUCCCACCUGUGUUAAGACAGUUAAAUAUUUCUUGAUGUUAGCUUGAGGACCAAGUGAGCCAUCUUGCCAGUUAAGCAAGUCUUAUUUCAGAGGACCAAAUGGUUAAAAGAGGAGAAUUUGUACAUUUGUUGAGCUUCCCCAUCUGAAGCUUGGGUUCCGUACUAUCCUAUUACUAUCCAUCUUCAUACUGAAUGAAACAAACUGAAAGGGAAUUCAUAAUCUUUUUUCUUAACUGAACAGGAAAACUUAUGAAAAUCAACAAUAAAUCUGAAUUUUAAUUUUCAUUCAACAGCUGAAAAACCAUGUCUGUUGACCACAUUGGACUAUUGCCUAGUUAAAAUCCAUAAAAUUCUCUAUAAACCAAUGAAAAGAAAGUAGUCUGGCAAUAAUUUCCAACUUUUUAAAUCCUAAUUUUUAGUUACAAAGAAAAAGGAUAGAACGAGGCUUUUCAAGGAAUUCUUGCUCAUCCCUUCAAUAAUUUGGUAGGCAACACAGUCCUAGAAUUCAGCUUCCUUUUUGGUUUUAUUACUAUUAAAUAGAUACUUUCAUAUAAAUGGAAACAUUUUUCCUCAAAACAUCAAUUCAAAACAUACUCCUUAUAUUAAUGGCUAUGGCACCACAUUUUUGGUAAAUUCCCUAUGUGUAACUUUUUCCUGUUGGUAUGUGAUUUUUUUCAUUUAAUAUGACUAUCUGCUGGUGUUGGGGGCAAUAGGUUUGUGAAUAUUCUGUGGAUAUGUCCAUGCAUAGGUGUAUAUAUAUACCUAUAUUUUUCCAGCUAAUACCUCAAAUGUGUGAUUGUUUAAUAUAUACCACACUAUGUUUGCACAGAGCAGGGCUUCUAUUAGCAGUGGAUAUUUUUAUUUCUUUUUUUUUUUUUUUUUUUUUUGUUUUGAGACGGAGUCUCUCUCUGUUGCCCAGGCUGGAGUGCAGUGGCGCGAUCUCCGCUCACUGCAAGCUCUGCCUCCCGGGUUCACGCCAUUCUCCUACCUCAGCCUCCCGAGUAGCUGGGACUACAGGCGCCCGCCACUACGCCUGGCUAAUUUUUUGUAUUUUUUGUAGAGACAGGGUUUCACCGUGUUAGCCAGGAUGGUCUCGAUCUCCUGACCUCGUGAUCCACCCGCCUCGGCCUCCCAAAGUGCUGGAAUUACAGGCAUGAGCCACCACGCCCAGUGGAUAUUUUUAUUUCUAACUUUGAAAAUCAGUCCACACAAUUUCAUUGGUGUGAAUUCUUUCUGUUGCUCUUUUUCAUAUUUUAAUGCAGAGAUUCCUCUUACAAGGCCCAUGCUUCAAACACAAUUAUAUCUUUCUAUAUCCAGCCAGCUGGAAAUAUAUAGGGGUAAGAAGUAUUUCUUGAAAAGUCCUUGUUUAGUAAGUUAGUAACAACUGGGAUGACUAGUUGCCAAGAUGUCUUGUAACUGCCUAGCAGAUGACACCUGCCGUGGCAAGUCUCAUUCACUUCAGUACAAGACUCUGUACAUUUCAAUCUGAUAUUCUAUUUUGCCAUUUAAGUACGCCAUUAAAAUCAUAGAGAUUUUCAGUGACAUUGGAGUACUGUAAAUAUUAGUUUCAAAAAGAAUUAUUUUGAAUAGGAUGAUUAAACCAAUAAGAAGAAAGAAACACACAGAAAUGAUAUUUUGCAGUUUAUCUGUAUUAAGAAAUGCUUCUUGCCAAUUUCUGGUUUUGGUUUUUGGAUUGCUACAUAAGACUUUCUUUCCAUUUACUUUAUGUGUUUUUAAAAGCUGCAGGUGAUUUUUAAGGUUUGAUGGAAUUAUAAUGGGAGCCUUGUAUAAGUUAAAUGAAACUGGUAAAGGAGAGCUUACUUUGUCUAUAAUGCUUUCAGGAUUAUAACUUAGAUUUAAAAAUGAAAUGUCUGACUUGUAAAAUAUUUAAUGUUAUAUCAGACUUCAAUAAAAUUUUCUGCGAGAACUCAAAGUAAAUGCAUUAGAUUUUUAAUGAAUGUUCUGAAUGAAAUAUGAAUUUUUGUCUUUCAGUCUCUGUAGUUUAUCUCAAUAUAUUAAUAAAAAGGUCUGUUCUCACUGU
This 2042-nucleotide long non-coding RNA is filed under the name Homo sapiens (human). Its description in RNAcentral is "non-protein coding lnc-SGCG-7:2". Lineage: Eukaryota; Metazoa; Chordata; Mammalia; Primates; Hominidae. The record is from RNAcentral.